AGUCCCAGUUCGGAUAAGAGGCUGAAACUCGCCUCUUUGAAGUCGGAAUCGCUAGUAAUCGCAGAUCAGCAUGUUGCGGUGAAUACGUUCCCGGGUCUUGUACACACCGCCCGUCAAACCAUGAGAGUCACCAACACCCGAAGUCCGCCUUGGCGGCCUAAGGGUGGGGGAGAUGAUUGGGGUUAAGUCGUAACAAGGUACC
This 202-nucleotide ribosomal RNA is filed under the name uncultured bacterium. RNAcentral's name for it is "partial 16S ribosomal RNA". It matches the Rfam family "Bacterial small subunit ribosomal RNA", at positions 1284 to 1500 of the family's 1533-position model. The record is from RNAcentral.